Molecule: ribosomal RNA, 301 nt
Filed under: uncultured bacterium
Lineage: Bacteria
Description: partial 16S ribosomal RNA
Rfam family: Bacterial small subunit ribosomal RNA
Source: RNAcentral
CAGUCGCCGCGGGAAUACGUAGGGCGCAAGCGUUAUCCGGAAUUAUUGGGCGUAAAGAGCUCGUAGGCGGUUUGUCGCGUCUGCCGUGAAAGUCCGGGGCUCAACCCCGGAUCUGCGGUGGGUACGGGCAGACUAGAGUGAUGUAGGGGAGACUGGAAUUCCUGGUGUAGCGGUGAAAUGCGCAGAUAUCAGGAGGAACACCGAUGGCGAAGGCAGGUCUCUGGGCAUUAACUGACGCUGAGGAGCGACAGCGUGGGGAGCAAACAGGAUUAGAUACCCCAGUAGUCCCUGUCUCUUAUAC